RNAcentral lists this ribosomal RNA (143 nucleotides) under uncultured eukaryote. RNAcentral describes it as "partial small subunit ribosomal RNA". It matches the Rfam family "Bacterial small subunit ribosomal RNA", at positions 1383 to 1525 of the family's 1533-position model. The record is from RNAcentral.
GUACACACCGCCCGUCACGUCAUGGGAGUGAAUUGCACCAGAAGUAGCUAGUUUAACCUUCGGGAGAACGGUUACCACGGUGUGGUUCAUGACUGGGACGAAGUCGUAACAAGGUAGCCGUAGGUGAACCUGCAGAAGGAUCA